GCCGAAAUAGGUCAGUUGGGAGAGUGUUAUACUGACGCUCCAAAGAUUCCUUGUUUCGAUCCCAGGUUUUGGCA
Molecule: non-coding RNA, 74 nt
Organism: Pangasius djambal
Lineage: Eukaryota; Metazoa; Chordata; Actinopteri; Siluriformes; Pangasiidae
Source: the annotation of a GenBank genome assembly